Long non-coding RNA from Herpailurus yagouaroundi (jaguarundi), 595 nucleotides. RefSeq lists it as uncharacterized. The record is from RefSeq and is a predicted model, not a curated record. Lineage: Eukaryota; Metazoa; Chordata; Mammalia; Carnivora; Felidae. The transcript is spliced from 2 exons.
GUCUCUACAUCUUUUCUUUGGCCUCACUGAACCAUCACCCAGCCUAGGCUUCGAGUCUGCUGGGGUGUGGCUGCACAAUGGUGUCCUCAUGAGAAGAGGGAAAUCUGGACACAGAGAGAGACACACAGGGAGAACUCUAUAAGGAGAUGGCAGAAAUUGGAGUUGCGCAGCUAUAAGCCGAGGAUGACAGGUGACACCAGAACCUGGGGCAGACACGGAACAGGUUCUCCACUAGAGCCUUUCAGUGAGAAUGGCCCAGACGACACCUUAAUUUUGGACUUCCAGUGCCCAGAAUGUGCGUCACAAGGGGCACACUGUGGGAGACUGAAGGCUGCACACUGUGUGCGGACAAUGUCCCACUUUUGGAACUGCUCUCUGCUGAAUGUAGAAGAACCAGCCCAUGACAACAAGUAGGAGUGUCGUGUGUUGUGGGAGGAAAUCCCACAAAGUGGGGGAGAAAUGUGCUCCUUAGACGUUAUCUGAUGGGCCAAGUCAGUCCUGAGGGCUCUGCCCUGAUCCCAUGAGACGCUACAGUAGGCUCCCCAUGAGCCUUAUACUUCCCAUUCUGCGAAUAAAAACUGGUCUGCACAGACUA